RNAcentral lists this ribosomal RNA (645 nucleotides) under Lyomyces fimbriatus. Its description in RNAcentral is "partial large subunit ribosomal RNA". Lineage: Eukaryota; Fungi; Basidiomycota; Agaricomycetes; Hymenochaetales; Schizoporaceae. The record is from RNAcentral.
GCAUAUCAAUAAGCGGAGGAAAAGAAACUAACAAGGAUUCCCCUAGUAACUGCGAGUGAAGCGGGAUGAGCUCAAAUUUAAAAUCGGGUAGCUUUGCUGCUUGAGUUGUAAUCUAGAGAAGCAUUUUCUGUGUUGGACCGUGUACAAGUCUCUUGGAAUAGAGCGUCAUAGAGGGUGAGAAUCCCGUCCAUGACACGGACUACCAAUACUUUGUGAUAUGCUCUCAAAGAGUCGAGUUGUUUGGGAAUGCAGCUCAAAAUGGGUGGUAUGUUCCAUCUAAAGCUAAAUAUUGGCGAGAGACCGAUAGCGAACAAGUACCGUGAGGGAAAGAUGAAAAGCACUUUGGAAAGAGAGUUAAACAGUACGUGAAAUUGUUGAAAGGGAAACRCUUGAAGUCAGUCGCGUCUUCUGGAACUCAGCCUUGCUCUUGCUUGGUGUACUUUCUAGUUGACGGGUCAACAUCAAUUUUGGUUGGUGGAUAAAGAUUGAAGGAAUGUGGCAUCUUCGGAUGUGUUAUAGCCUUUGAUCGCAUACACUGACUGGGAUUGAGGACUGCAGCACGCCUUUAUGGCCAGGGUUCGCCCAUGUAACGUGCUUAGGAUGUUGACAUAAUGGCUUUAAGUGACCCGUCUUGAACCACGGACC